UCUUGCACAAUGGGCGAAAGCCUGAUGCAGCGACGCCGCGUGAGGGAUGAAGGCUCUAGGGUCGUAAACCUCUUUUCUCAGGGAANAGUAAGGACGUUACCUGAGGAAUAAGCCACGGCUAACUACGUGCCAGCAGCCGCGGUAAUAUGCC
RNAcentral lists this ribosomal RNA (151 nucleotides) under uncultured Chloroflexaceae bacterium. RNAcentral describes it as "partial 16S ribosomal RNA". It matches the Rfam family "Bacterial small subunit ribosomal RNA", at positions 362 to 529 of the family's 1533-position model. The record is from RNAcentral. Lineage: Bacteria; Bacillati; Chloroflexota; Chloroflexia; Chloroflexales; Chloroflexaceae.